Molecule: ribosomal RNA, 468 nt
Filed under: uncultured bacterium
Lineage: Bacteria
Description: partial 16S ribosomal RNA
Rfam family: Bacterial small subunit ribosomal RNA
Source: RNAcentral
GACGAACGCUGGCGGCGUGCUUAACACAUGCAAGUCGAACGGAAAGGCCCUGCUCUUGUUGGGUGCUCGAGUGGCGAACGGGUGAGUAACACGUGAGUAACCUGCCCUUGACUUUGGGAUAACUUCAGGAAACUGGGGCUAAUACCGGAUAGGAUCUCCUGCUGCAUGGUGGUGGAUGGAAAGUUUCGGCGUUUGGGGAUGGACUCGCGGCUUAUCAGCUUGUUGGUGGGGUUGGUACGUACCAAGGCUUCGACGGGUAGCCGGCCUGGGAGGGUGACCGGGCACCUUGGGCCUGCGAUACGGCCCAGACUCCUACGGGCGGCAGCAGUGGGGAGUAUUGCGCAACGGGGGGGAGCCUGAUGCGACAGCGCCGCGUUCGGGAUGACGGCCUUCGGGUUAUAAACAGCUUUCGCCUGUGACGAAGCGUGAGUGACGGUAAUGGGUAAAAAAGCACCGGCUAACUACGUG